UACGUAGGGUCCGAGCGUUAUCCGGAUUCACUGGGUUUAAAGGGUGCGUAGGAGGGCAGGUAAGUCAGUGGUGAAAUCCCCGAGCUUAACUUGGGAACUGCCGUUGAUACUAUCUGUCUUGAAUGUUGUGGAGGUAAGCGGAAUAUGUCAUGUAGCGGUGAAAUGCUUAGAUAUGACAUAGAACACCAAUUGCGAAGGCAGCUUGCUACACAAUUAUUGACUCUGAUGCACGAAAGCGUGGGGAUCAAACAGG
This 253-nucleotide ribosomal RNA is filed under the name uncultured bacterium. RNAcentral's name for it is "partial 16S ribosomal RNA". It matches the Rfam family "Bacterial small subunit ribosomal RNA", at positions 524 to 776 of the family's 1533-position model. The record is from RNAcentral.